GUAUUGUAUUGCGUUAAACGCGGUGUACAUUCCAUGAGACUUUAUUACAGUGUGUGUGUGUUAAAUCCAUAGGACCACAGCAGGGGGGACGGUGCCCCCAGGCUACAGAACUAUGAAGGGUGCACAGGUGUGAGUGGAUGUGUAAACAGAGCGUGCACAUGCCCCCGUUUGAGGACCAGCAACAACUCGUGUUGACAAUUCGGUAAUGAUCCUUCCGCAGGUUCACCUACGGAAA
Molecule: unclassified non-coding RNA, 235 nt
Filed under: uncultured fungus
Lineage: Eukaryota; Fungi
Description: sequence contains ITS1
Source: RNAcentral